CUCCUCCUCGCCAGAGGCAGAGCAGAAGCACCUGAGCUGAGGCAAGAGCACAUGGCGGAGAGCUGAAGCUAGAAGACAGACUUCUCCCUGCUACCAAAUGAUAUGAGCCAUGGCUCAGAGAGCUUUUCAUGGAUCCCAUCUGGCUUCUCCAGGCAGUGAGAGUGGGGCAAGUCCUCUGCCUCAAGGGAUGCUGCUAUCUACACAUGUAACUACCUUAUACCAAAUCAUACCAUCAAGGGAGUCCCCUGAGAUACGGUGACCUUGUCUGCAUGUGGGCUGCAGCUGCUGACUUUGUGACAGCCACUCAGACAUGACGUCUCCUACCAGAAAGAACGAGCUGGAGGACUGCCAGAAAAUACAUGAUUUGGAAAUUUCACACACACACAAAUUUCCCCCUCCAAGCACUCAGAUAUGUUCGCUUUCCCCUCUAUUAUGCAUCUUUUAACUAAUCCUCAGCUGCUCACUAUAGUCCUGCUUUCUAGCAGGUACUCGGGCAUCACCAGGCCAUGGAAGGAGGAGUCUUUUUCUUUCUUAAGUUAGAAAGCCAUAUUUUUAUGCAUACCUGGGGAGUCCUCUGAAUAUUAAGUGAUUCCUCUCUAGUAUGUGACAAGACUGGUUUUAUUGCCUUUGCGAUUGGCACAUGGGGUCUACCGCUUUACUAUUAG
Eublepharis macularius is the source of this 665-nucleotide long non-coding RNA. RefSeq lists it as uncharacterized. The transcript is spliced from 3 exons. NCBI's taxonomy places the organism in Eukaryota, Metazoa, Chordata, Lepidosauria, Squamata, Eublepharidae. The record is from RefSeq and is a predicted model, not a curated record.